Molecule: ribosomal RNA, 265 nt
Filed under: uncultured Stemonitis sp.
Lineage: Eukaryota; Evosea; Eumycetozoa; Stemonitida
Description: partial 18S ribosomal RNA
Rfam family: Eukaryotic small subunit ribosomal RNA
Source: RNAcentral
AUGCUUUUCCUAAAGAUUAAGCCAUGCAUGCCUAAGACUAUGAGGAAGCAAUUCUCUCUGAAUCUGCGAACGGCUCCGCAAACCAGUUGUAGACCAUAGCAGCGUUCCGCCCGGCUUCAGCAAUGGAGCCGGGCAUUAUAUGGAUAACCGUGGUAAUUCUGAGGCUAAUACAUGACACACCAACCUGCCGGGCGUGGGGGCGAACUCCGGCGUAGGUGGGGGACGUGCAAACUCCCAUUGCUAUAACAAAACCAACGAAUGAAUG